CAUGCAAGUCGAACGGUAACAGGAAGAAGCUUGCUUCUUUGCUGACGAGUGGCGGACGGGUGAGUAAUGUCUGGGAAACUGCCUGAUGGAGGGGGAUAACUACUGGAAACGGUAGCUAAUACCGCAUAACGUCGCAAGACCAAAGAGGGGGACCUUCGGGCCUCUUGCCAUCGGAUGUGCCCAGAUGGGAUUAGCUAGUAGGUGGGGUAACGGCUCACCUAGGCGACGAUCCCUAGCUGGUCUGAGAGGAUGACCAGCCACACUGGAACUGAGACACGGUCCAGACUCCUACGGGAGGCAGCAGUGGGGAAUAUUGCACAAUGGGCGCAAGCCUGAUGCAGCCAUGCCGCGUGUAUGAAGAAGGCCUUCGGGUUGUAAAGUACUUUCAGCGGGGAGGAAGGGAGUAAAGUUAAUACCUUUGCUCAUUGACGUUACCCGCAGAAGAAGCACCGGCUAACUCCGUGCCAGCAGCCGCGGUAAUACGGAGGGUGCAAGCGUUAAUCGGAAUUACUGGGCGUAAAGCGCACGCAGGCGGUUUGUUAAGUCAGAUGUGAAAUCCCCGGGCUCAACCUGGGAACUGCAUCUGAUACUGGCAAGCUUGAGUCUCGUAGAGGGGGGUAGAAUUCCAGGUGUAGCGGUGAAAUGCGUAGAGAUCUGGAGGAAUACCGGUGGCGAAGGCG
Molecule: ribosomal RNA, 680 nt
Filed under: uncultured bacterium
Lineage: Bacteria
Description: bacterial SSU rRNA
Rfam family: Bacterial small subunit ribosomal RNA
Source: RNAcentral